GAUGAAGAACGUAGCGAAAUGCGAUACGUAGUGUGAAUUGCAGAAUUCAGUGAAUCAUCGAAUCUUUGAACGCACAUUGCGCCCUUUGGUAUUCCAAAGGGCAUGCCUGUUCGAGCGUCAUUUGUACCCUCAAGCUUUGCUUGGUGUUGGGCGUCUUGUCUCCAGUCCGCUGGAGACUCGCCUUAAAGUCAUUGGCAGCCGGCCUACUGGUUUCGGAGCGCAACACAAGUCGCACUCUUUUCCAGCCAAGGUCAGUGUCCAACAAGCCUUUUUUCAACUUUUGACCUCGGAUCAGGUAGGGAUACCCGCUGAACUUAAGCAUAUCAAUAAGCGGAGGA
RNAcentral lists this unclassified non-coding RNA (338 nucleotides) under soil metagenome. RNAcentral describes it as "partial contains 5.8S ribosomal RNA, internal transcribed spacer 2, and large subunit ribosomal RNA". The stretch from base 1 to 120 matches the Rfam family "5.8S ribosomal RNA", at positions 35 to 154 of the family's 154-position model. The record is from RNAcentral.